GGCUCCAUUCCGAACCCGGCCGUUAAGUGCCGUCGCGCCGAUGGUACUGCGUCUCAAGACGUGGGAGAGUAGGUCGCCGCCAAACC
RNAcentral lists this ribosomal RNA (86 nucleotides) under Salipiger mucosus DSM 16094. Lineage: Bacteria; Pseudomonadati; Pseudomonadota; Alphaproteobacteria; Rhodobacterales; Roseobacteraceae. The record is from RNAcentral.